This 301-nucleotide ribosomal RNA is filed under the name uncultured bacterium. RNAcentral describes it as "partial 16S ribosomal RNA". It matches the Rfam family "Bacterial small subunit ribosomal RNA", at positions 509 to 809 of the family's 1533-position model. The record is from RNAcentral.
CAGCAGCCACGGUAAAACGAAGGGUGCAAGCGUUACUCGGAAUUACUGGGCGUAAAGCGUGCGUAGGUGGUGGUUUAAGUCCGUUGUGAAAGCCCUGGGCUCAACCUGGGAAUUGCAGUGGAUACUGGGUCACUAGAGUGUGGUAGAGGAUAGUGGAAUUUCCGGUGUAGCAGUGAAAUGCGUAGAGAUCGGAAGGAACAUCUGUGGCGAAGGCGACUAUCUGGGCCAACACUGACACUGAGGCACGAAAGCGUGGGGAGCAAACAGGAUUAGAUACCCCUGUAGUCCCUGUCUCUUAUCC